AACGAACGCUGGCGGCGUGCCUAAUACAUGCAAGUCGAGCGAAUGGAUUAAGAGCUUGCUCUUAUGAAGUUAGCGGCGGACGGGUGAGUAACACGUGGGUAACCUGCCCAUAAGACUGGGAUAACUCCGGGAAACCGGGGCUAAUACCGGAUAACAUUUUGAACCGCAUGGUUCGAAAUUGAAAGGCGGCUUCGGCUGUCACUUAUGGAUGGACCCGCGUCGCAUUAGCUAGUUGGUGAGGUAACGGCUCACCAAGGCAACGAUGCGUAGCCGACCUGGGAGGGGGAGCGGCCACACUGGGACCGAGACACGGCCCAGACUCCUACGGGAGGCAGCAGUAGGGAAUCUUCCGCAAUGGACGAAAGUCUGACGGAGCCACGCCGCGUGAGUGAUGAAGGCGUUCGGGUCGUAAAACUCUGUUGUUAGGGAAGAACAAGUGCUAGUUGAAUAAGCUGGCACCUUGACGGUACCUAACCAGAAAGCCACGGCUAACUACGUGCCAGCCGCCGCAGUAA
Molecule: ribosomal RNA, 515 nt
Filed under: uncultured bacterium
Lineage: Bacteria
Description: partial 16S ribosomal RNA
Rfam family: Bacterial small subunit ribosomal RNA
Source: RNAcentral